UACGGAGGGGGCUAGCGUUGUUCGGAAUUACUGGGCGUAAAGCGCGUGUAGGCUGACCUUCAAGUCGGACGUGAAAUCCCUGAGCUCAACUCAGGAACUGCAUCCGAAACUGAAGGCCUAGAGUAGUGGAGAGGGAAGCAGAAUUCCUGGUGUAGAGGUGAAAUUCGUAGAUAUCAUGAGGAAGACCAGUGGCGAAGGCGGGUCUCUGGACAGUUCCUGACACUGAGACACGAAGGCCAGGGGAGCAAACGGG
Molecule: ribosomal RNA, 253 nt
Filed under: uncultured bacterium
Lineage: Bacteria
Description: partial 16S ribosomal RNA
Rfam family: Bacterial small subunit ribosomal RNA
Source: RNAcentral